CGGCGGACGGGUGAGUAACGCGUGGGUAACCUGCCUCAUACAGGGGGAUAACAGUUAGAAAUGACUGCUAAUACCGCAUAAGCACACAGAACCGCAUGGUUCGGGGUGAAAAGCCGAGACGGUAUGAGAUGGACCCGCGUCUGAUUAGCUAGUUGGAGGGGUAACGGCCCACCAAGGCGACGAUCAGUAGCCGACCUGAGAGGGUAACCGGCCACAUUGGGACUGAGACACGGCCCAAACUCCUACGGGAGGCAGCAG
Molecule: ribosomal RNA, 258 nt
Filed under: uncultured bacterium
Lineage: Bacteria
Description: partial 16S ribosomal RNA
Rfam family: Bacterial small subunit ribosomal RNA
Source: RNAcentral